AUCCAAUCAGGAUUGAGGCUGUUGUGGGCGGGUCUGGUAAAAGCAACAGCCAAUGACAGUACAGAAGCGAAGUUAAGCGUGAGAAAACCAGUCCAAAGAAAGCGGCUCUUCAGUCUCAGCAGGAGCCAGAAAAUUGGGAUCAGAAAGCCAGUAUGGAAAAUUUUGACAGCUGUCAGGAAGGAGGUUAUUGAAUUCAUUGGAGAAUGAGUGCUGUCCUAAAUUUGAAAGAAACUGCAAUCAGGACCUACCCUCAGAAAACUGACUCCACUUGCCAUCUUCCCUAUGGUUGUCUGGCAACACAACCAUAUUCUCGGGAAGGGGGACAGAACACCCAGGAAGAGGUCUUCUGGAGUGAUCUAGCUCCCACAAUGAGGAAGUAGAGAAAAGUCACAUGUGGAGAAGAAAAGAUGGUCUUUUCUUCUGAAGACUGUGAGAUUGGUCUAUUUGCUUUAAACAGACUGAACAACCUCUAAAAUAAGCAGACUUCUAUGACGGGCUGCCUCAUUUUGGAUGUGCAAAGAUGUUUACUGAGCUUCUCAUCUAAGACUUGAUUCUUCUCUCAGCGUGACACAGUUAAGGGUUUAAAGGGGGUGCGCUGUCUGCAUGUUUUAGAAGACGGCAGAAGAAAAAUGCCUCUGUUCUACAGCAUGAUCAGGUAUCUGCAUCUCCCCAAGGAUUUUUCAUGAACCUUAGAAGGAAAUCUGUAUUAUUCGGGUUCCCAAGGGCAAAUCACUCUUGCCAAGAGACCACUGAGCGGUUUUCAAAGAUGUAAAACAUUUCUUGUGUUCCUAGUAACCAGUUUAGACCUGGGUCAGGUUGGGGGUUCAAGACUUUCAUGAAACCAAGGAAAAUCAUUUUCUGGAGAGUUUUAGAUAAUUACCAUAGGUUUUAUAUAUUAACUUACAGCAAAAUAAUGAAAUAAACAAAUGAAUUUAUA
Molecule: long non-coding RNA, 937 nt
Organism: Mirounga angustirostris (Northern elephant seal)
Lineage: Eukaryota; Metazoa; Chordata; Mammalia; Carnivora; Phocidae
Exons: 5
Source: RefSeq, a predicted model, not a curated record